AUACGUAGGUGGCAAGCGUUGUCCGGAAUUAUUGGGCGUAAAGCGCGCGCAGGCGGUCCUUUAAGUCUGAUGUGAAAGCCCACGGCUCAACCGUGGAGGGUCAUUGGAAACUGGGGGACUUGAGUGCAGAAGAGGAAAGUGGAAUUCCCAGUGUAGCGGUGAAAUGCGUAGAGAUUUGGAGGAACACCAGUGGCGAAGGUGACUUUCUGGUCUGUAACUGACACUGAGGCGCGAAAGCGUGGGGAGCAAACAGGAUUAGAUACCCUGGUAGUCCACGCCGUAAACGAUGAGUGCUAAGUGUUGGGGGGUUUCCGCCCCUCAGUGCUGCAGCUAACGCAUUAAGCACUCCGCCUGGGGAGUACGGUCGCAAGACUGAAACUCAAAUGAAUUGACGGGG
RNAcentral lists this ribosomal RNA (397 nucleotides) under uncultured bacterium. RNAcentral's name for it is "partial 16S ribosomal RNA". It matches the Rfam family "Bacterial small subunit ribosomal RNA", at positions 523 to 918 of the family's 1533-position model. The record is from RNAcentral.